GUAUAAGUUAAUGGCCUUUCGGCACAAUCACGUUCGAUAAUUAGAAUAGUGUUUGUAGUGAAGAAGGCCGAGUUUUUACCUCGAACCUUCAAAGUGUGCACAGGUGUAUGGGAUAAGAAUUUGGAAGCGAGCACAUGCAGAGAACUGCCAGCAUCAACUUCCGGUAAAUUCAUUAAUGAUCCUUCCGCAGGUUCACCUACGGAAA
RNAcentral lists this unclassified non-coding RNA (205 nucleotides) under uncultured fungus. Its description in RNAcentral is "sequence contains ITS1". Lineage: Eukaryota; Fungi. The record is from RNAcentral.